UGGGGAAUCUUGCACAAUGGGGGAAACCCUGAUGCAGCGACGCCGCGUGAACGAUGAAGCCCUUCGGGGUGUAAAGUUCUUUCGACGGGGACGAUAAUGACGGUACCCGGAGAAGAAGCUGCGGCUAACUACGUGCCAGCAGCCGCGGUAAUACGUAGGCAGCAAGCGCUGUUCGGAAUUACUGGGCGUAAAGAGUGCGUAGGUGGUUGGCCAAGUUUGGUGUGAAAUCUCCCGGCUUAACUGGGAGGGUGCGCCGAAAACUGGUUGACUAGAGUGUGGGAGAGGGACGUGGAAUUCCUGGUGUAGCGGUGAAAUGCGUAGAUAUCAGGAGGAACACCUGCGGUGUAGACGGCGUCCUGGACCAUGACUGACACUGAGGCACGAAAGCGUGGGGAGCAAACA
Molecule: ribosomal RNA, 402 nt
Filed under: uncultured bacterium
Lineage: Bacteria
Description: bacterial SSU rRNA
Rfam family: Bacterial small subunit ribosomal RNA
Source: RNAcentral